RNAcentral lists this ribosomal RNA (3934 nucleotides) under Porospora cf. gigantea A. RNAcentral's name for it is "large subunit ribosomal RNA". The stretch from base 6 to 3498 matches the Rfam family "Eukaryotic large subunit ribosomal RNA". Lineage: Eukaryota; Apicomplexa; Conoidasida; Eugregarinorida; Porosporidae. The record is from RNAcentral.
AAAACUAAUGAUGACAUUCCUUGGGUUACCCACCGAACGUAAGCAUAUUACUAUGUGGAGGAAAAGAAAAUAAAAAUGAUCCCUUUAAUAGUGGCGAACGAAACAGGGACAAGAUUAAGGGCGACAUCACUCACCCUUCUUUGGGUAGUGUAAAUGCCUUGGGUGUACAUGAAACUGCGGUCGCUCUUCAGCUUUUGAGAUAUUCGACGAAUACGAUAUAAUGUAUCUGUAAGUCUGCGACCAACGUUGAACUCACGUGCACCCCCAUAAGUCGGACAUAUUGCGAGUUAUGUCCAAUUGGAGAUGAUCGUCUUCGAGAUCUGAAUAUAAUCCUAUACCGAUAGCAAACAAGUACCAUGAGGGAAAGUUGAAAAGCACUCAUAAAAGAGAAUUAAUUGAACUUGAAAUCGAUAUGGAAGAAGGGUAUUUCAGGAGCACGACAUGUUCUGAUGGGGAGCUUACGCUUUAAACAUUAGUUCUGUCAUCAUGUUCUCAUGUCUCGAAGGGAGAUGAUAGUAUUGAAGUUUCUUCAACUCUACCACCCUGUUAAGGGAUAUCCUGCCGAUUUAUGUGAACAUGCUUCCCGAUUUUACCACCCGUCUUGAAACACGGACCAAGGAGUGUUAGGAUGUUGCGGGUUGUUCCAUUGAAUUGAGUAGCAUUCGUGUCUGAGCAAGACUGACUCUCUUUUUUAAGAUCAUUAGCAAUAUUCUAACGACCCGAAAAUCGGUGAACUUUUCCUGUGAAGGGUGAAGCCAGAAGAAAUUUUGGUGGAAGCCCGGAACUGUGCUGACGUGCAAAUCGCUUGUCUUACAUGGGAAAAGGGGCGAAAGACCAAUCGAACCGAUUAAUAGCUGGUUACCUCCGAAGUUUCCCUCAGGAAAGGUGCGUCUCGUCCUAAAGCAGGGACGGUAAAGCUUAUGAUUAGAAGUACCGGGGAAGAAUUUCCUCGACUGAUUCUCAAACUUUAAAUGUUCCUUAGUCGAAAUCCUCACGGAAUACGACUGGUGCUUUGAGAUGUUACUGGGCCUGUAUUUGUAAGAAAUACCGGCGAUGUGGGAUAAUCCGCAAGUCAAGUGAACCCGCUAAAGUGUAUGCUCGGAAAAUUCAAAAGGUGUUUCUGUAUUUAGACAGCAGGACGGUGGCCCUGGUAGUCGGAAUCCGCUAAGGAGUGUGUAACAACUCACCUGCCGAAUGCAGUUACCCUGAAAAUGGAUUGCGCUGAAGCAUACAGGGGAUACUUGACCUUCUCUAGACCUAGAGAAGUGUAGGAGGUUGUAAAGGAGACUUGUGAUUGCCAGUGAUGGCAUCGUUCAUCUCCAAUUAGUGCAGAUCUUGGUGGUAGUAAUAAGUACACUGAAUGGAAGGUUUUUUAAAGAACAAAUCGGUUCUCAGAACCACCUGAAUCAUCUGGCAUUUUUCUAGCUUUCUCGAUCACAUGCCCUGCCAGUGAGCAUGGUUCGUCAGAGGCCAUCCAGGACUUCCAGGUAUCGUCGCACUGAUGAUGCUUCAUGUUGCAGUAUGCAUUGUAUACACUACGCAUGCUAACACAAGGGGGAUACAGCGAUCUGGGUGCAGCCGCACCCUACUACCAAUAGACAGUCGCAAAAACAGCGGGCCGAGAGACAGCUUAUACCUCACUUCAACCUGCCACAAUUUCUAGCUGUCGGAAGUCGAAAGGUUUUUUCUGAAAACUUUUCUGAUGUGCUUCUCAUCGUUGUUGCUUCAUAUCAAGCGACCAUUUCCGUGGUCCGAUGUGAGGUAGGCUUUCACGGCAACUUCAUGUGGCCGUGAGUGAGACGAUCCUAAGCGGUGCAUUAAUCUGUUUCAUCCCUGAUUCUAGGUGUUUACUGCGAAAGGGAAACGAGCGUUGAAUCUCGUUCCAAUAUCCUCCAAAGGGCGACAUAAUUGUGCUACGCUUCGUUUUGACUAUGAACCUUAUGCGUUUCCGGCGCAUAUCAACAGAUUGAACACUGUUUAAUUGGUGCAACCAGAGAGACAGUGUACAUUUGAAUUAGGCUGCUCUUCUCGAGCGGUCUACGUUUCAUGUCAGAAUCCUUGAAAAGCUAAGCACAGCAUGGAGUUGAUUGAUCGUACCCAUAUCCGCAUCAGGUCCUCAAGGUUAAAUAGCCUUUGGUUCCUAGACUAUCGUAGGUAAGGGAAGUCGGCAAAUUGAUUCCGUACCUUAGGAAAAAGGAAUGGCUCUGAAGGUUUGUAUUUCGCUGUGAGGCGGCCGCUGCGACGAGUUGACGCGAUACCUUCGGGAUCGCUGAAGCCGUUGCGGGGCCACCUGUAUGGCGUUUUACGCUAACAACCUUUUCAGAACUGCAGCGGACAAGAGGAAUCCGACAGUUUAACUAAAACCAAGCUUUUCGCAAACGUUGAGACGUUUAUAUGAAAGGUGAUUUCUGCCCAAUGCGCUGUUUGUCAAGUUGUAGAAUUCAGACACAAUUAAGCGCGCGUCAAUGGCAGGGGUAACUGUGACCCUUUUAAGGUAGCCAAAUGCCUCGUCAUCUAAUUAGUGACGCGCAUGAAUGGAUCAACGAGACUCCUACUGUCCCUAUCUGCGUUCUAGUGAAACCACAGCCAAGGGAACGGGCUUGGCUGUUAUAUAGACAGCGGGGAAAGAAGACCCGGUUGCGCUUGACUCUAUUUUGGGAUUGUAAGAGGACUUGAGAGGUGUAGCAUACGUGGGAGUCUCACGACGACCUUGAAAUACCACGACUCUCAAUGUCUUUUUACUUAUCUCUUGACCUAUCACUUCGUUCUGCGAUCUAUGUGAGAGAGAGACAUUCUCAGAUGGGGAGUUUGGCUGGGGCGGUACAUCUGUUAUAACAAACCACAGGUGUCCUAAGGCAAAGUCAUGGAGAACAGAAAUCUCCAGUAGACCAAAAAGGGAAAACUUUGCUCUACUGGUUUACUCAGCACGUAAAUCAGUUCUGAAAGGAAGGCCUAUCGAUCCUUAGCGCAUUUUUUUCCAACGAUCGGACGCUGAGGUGCCGGAAAAGUCACCACCGGGAUAACUAGUUCGUGGCCGCCGAGAGAUCAUAUCGACGCGGCAAGUUGAUUUUUCGAUGUCGGCUCUUUCUAUCCUAAGCGUGUAGAAGCGCUUAAUGGUCGGAUUGUUCACCCGUAGUUAAAGGGAACGUGAGCUGGGUUCAGACCGUCGUGAGACAGGUUAGUUUUAUCCUACUGUCUUCUUCCUUCUAAAGGAUACUAGUCAAGUACGAGAGGAACGACUAGUACGCACCUACAGCUCUGCGGCAGGAGGGAACUCCAAGGCUGCAAGACCGCGUGCGCAGGAUAAAUAUUGAAUGCCUCUAAAACUGAAACCUCUCUUUGCGGAGGAUAACACUCCUUGUUUACAGAUCAUUUUUAACAAUCUUCAAAGGAGAUCAUGCCGAAUGAAAGACCAUCAUGUAAAAGUGUAAGUUGUACGGUUUAAGCACCUUUAUGAUGCGAUUUCCUAAGACUCUGCACUGGUUUCCAGGACCAUGAAUCAUCUGGCACUUUUUGCGGGUGCCUCCAAAAUUUGAGGGUUGUCGACUGAAGUUUUGAUGCCCCAGUUUGAGUUUGAGAUUUUGGGGUUUAAACCCUAAACCCCAAACUCUAUACAACCCUAAUCCCUAAAGCACUCCAGAGUAAACCUUGUGAUCUCUGGAGUAAAACUUCUCACAAGAAUUUUGCACUGUUCCUAUACCUCAAUUUUACCCUACACAAUUUCUAGCCCUCAGAAGUUACAGUGUUUCAAGUGAAAAUAUUUCAACUUGCUCGAUGUGAGCAACCUCAGGAUUGGUCUACACUUAGAAAUCAUAGCAGUUUUGCUAUGUUUUAUCUAUUGUGAAGCAAUGCUUCUUCUGCCUCAGGGCUAAGAACUUGUUAUUCUACAUCUAUAAUUCUCCAUCUCUCUUGAGAUUUGAACAGAUGUAACCCG